UUGGAGGGCAAGUCUGGUGCCAGCAGCCGCGGUAAUACCAGCUCCAAUAGCGUAUAUUAAAGUUGUUGCAGUUAAAAAGCUCGUAGUUGAAUUUCGGGAUCAAUUUAUUGGUCGUGCUAUUGUACGUACUGGUAUUAUUGAUUCCUACCUUCUGACGAACCAUGAUGUCAUUAAUUUGGUGUCAUGGGGAAUCAGGACUGUUACUUUGAAAAAAUUAGAGUGUUUAAAGCAGGCUCACGCUUGAAUACAUUAGCAUGGAAUAACGAAAUAGGACGUUUGAUUCUAUUUUGUUGGUUUCUAGGAUCGACGUAAUGAUUAAUAGGGAUAGUUGGGGGCAUUAGUAUUCAAUUGUCAGAGGUGAAAUUCUUGGAUUUAUUGAAGACUAACUACUGCGAAAGCAUUUGCCAAGGACGUUUUCAUUAAUCAAGAACGAAAGUUAGGGGAUCGAAGACGAUCAGAUACCGUCGUAGUCCUAACCAUAAACUAUGCCGACUAGGGAUCGGAUGAUGUUAAUUUUUUAAUGACUCGUUCGGCGCCUUACGGGAAAC
RNAcentral lists this ribosomal RNA (548 nucleotides) under uncultured Glomeromycotina. RNAcentral's name for it is "SSU rRNA". It matches the Rfam family "Eukaryotic small subunit ribosomal RNA", at positions 548 to 1098 of the family's 1831-position model. The record is from RNAcentral. Lineage: Eukaryota; Fungi; Glomeromycota.